Molecule: ribosomal RNA, 193 nt
Filed under: Listeria monocytogenes
Lineage: Bacteria; Bacillati; Bacillota; Bacilli; Caryophanales; Listeriaceae
Also listed under: 1 other name
Description: partial 16S ribosomal RNA
Rfam family: Bacterial small subunit ribosomal RNA
Source: RNAcentral
UUUAAAGAGAGUUUGAUCCUGGCUCAGGACGAACGCUGGCGGCGUGCCUAAUACAUGCAAGUCGAACGAACGGAGGAAGAGCUUGCUCUUCCAAAGUUAGUGGCGGACGGGUGAGUAACACGUGGGCAACCUGCCUGUAAGUUGGGGAUAACUCCGGGAAACCGGGGCUAAUACCGAAUGAUAGAGUGUGGCG